AACAAGGUUUCCGUAGGUGAACCUGCGGAAGGAUCAUUACCGAGUGUAGGGUUCCUAGCGAGCCCAACCUCCCACCCGUGUUUACUGUACCUUAGUUGCUUCGGCGGGCCCGCCAUUCAUGGCCGCCGGGGGCUCUCAGCCCCGGGCCCGCGCCCGCCGGAGACACCACGAACUCUGUCUGAUCUAGUGAAGUCUGAGUUGAUUGUAUCGCAAUCAGUUAAAACUUUCAACAAUGGAUCUCUUGGUUCCGGCAUCGAUGAAGAACGCAGCGAAAUGCGAUAACUAGUGUGAAUUGCAGAAUUCCGUGAAUCAUCGAGUCUUUGAACGCACAUUGCGCCCCCUGGUAUUCCGGGGGGCAUGCCUGUCCGAGCGUCAUUGCUGCCCAUCAAGCACGGCUUGUGUGUUGGGUCGUCGUCCCCUCUCCGGGGGGGACGGGCCCCAAAGGCAGCGGCGGCACCGCGUCCGAUCCUCGAGCGUAUGGGGCUUUGUCACCCGCUCUGUAGGCCCGGCCGGCGCUUGCCGAACGCAAAUCAAUCUUUUCCAGGUUGACCUCGGAUCAGGUAGGGA
Molecule: ribosomal RNA, 567 nt
Filed under: Aspergillus flavus
Lineage: Eukaryota; Fungi; Ascomycota; Eurotiomycetes; Eurotiales; Aspergillaceae
Description: eukaryotic LSU rRNA
Rfam family: 5.8S ribosomal RNA (bases 222-375)
Source: RNAcentral